AUGAACCGCAUGCGGGCACGUCUGCAGCCUAGAAUUCGUGAUCAAGAUGCUGGGGGGAGUGUAGCAAGGGGAACUGCUAGAGAUCCAUCUAUGCUACGUAGCAGGGGAGAGACCCUGAGAGCAGAGCUGACAGAACUUGAGGCCCAGGCGAAAGCAUACCUAGAAUAUGCGCAAAUCCAUGGAAUUUUCCCGCAUAGGGAAGGAACUUCUAAUGAUGAUCCAGUGAUUGUUGACGAGGAGAGACGUGAGCGUCUAAGGUCCUUAUCUGCGGCUGCACUUGCUAUUGUGGAGCAAGCUAUGGAUAAUCCAGAAGUUUUCGAAGGCAUAUUUGAUCAAGCUAGAAGACUUCCUUCAAAUGUUGGAGCUGACGGAGGCGCCAAAGACAAACAUGCAUUUGGCAACAGCAGAUCCAAUGGUAACAACCAAGAACAGAUACACUGGGCAGAACUAGAGAGGGACAGCCAAGAUGACCAACAUGAAAAUGAAGGUGAAGCUGCAUGGGAUGUACUAACUGACGGCGAAGUUAGGGACAAGAAAUAG
RNAcentral lists this ribosomal RNA (540 nucleotides) under Triticum aestivum (bread wheat). Its description in RNAcentral is "partial small subunit ribosomal RNA". Lineage: Eukaryota; Viridiplantae; Streptophyta; Magnoliopsida; Poales; Poaceae. The record is from RNAcentral.